UUGAACGCUGGCGGCAUGCCUUACACAUGCCAGUCGAACGGUAACAGGUCUUCGGAUGCUGACGAGUGGCGAACGGGUGAGUAAUACAUCGGAACGUGCCCAGACGUGGGGGAUAACGAGGCGAAAGCUUUGCUAAUACCGCAUACGAUCUAAGGAUGAAAGCAGGGGACCGCAAGGCCUUGCGCGUUUGGAGCGGCCGAUGGCAGAUUAGGUAGUUGGUGGGAUAAAAGCUUACCAAGCCGACGAUCUGUAGCUGGUCUGAGAGGACGACCAGCCACACUGGGACUGAGACACGGCCCAGACUCCUACGGGAGGCAGCAGUGGGGAAUUUUGGACAAUGGGCGAAAGCCUGAUCCAGCAAUGCCGCGUGCAGGAUGAAGGCCUUCGGGUUGUAAACUGCUUUUGUACGGAACGAAAAGGCUCUGGCUAAUACCUGGGGCACAUGACGGUACCGUAAGAAUAAGCACCGGCUAACUACGUG
Molecule: ribosomal RNA, 481 nt
Filed under: uncultured bacterium
Lineage: Bacteria
Description: partial 16S ribosomal RNA
Rfam family: Bacterial small subunit ribosomal RNA
Source: RNAcentral